GCCCGCCUAGCUCAAUCGGAUAGAGCGUCAGACUCUUACCGAGUACAUGCGGGUGCAACGAUCGUGUGAUCUGAAGGCUGCGAGUUCGACCCUCGCGGUGGGCU
Non-coding RNA from Cerrena zonata, 104 nucleotides. Lineage: Eukaryota; Fungi; Basidiomycota; Agaricomycetes; Polyporales; Cerrenaceae. The record is from the annotation of a GenBank genome assembly.